RNAcentral lists this ribosomal RNA (253 nucleotides) under uncultured bacterium. RNAcentral's name for it is "partial 16S ribosomal RNA". It matches the Rfam family "Bacterial small subunit ribosomal RNA", at positions 524 to 776 of the family's 1533-position model. The record is from RNAcentral.
GACGUAGGGCGCGAGCGUUGUCCGGAUUUAUUGGGCGUAAAGAGCGUGUAGGCGGCCUGGCAAGUCUCGCGUGAAAUCUUGCGGCUCAACCGCAAGCGGUCGUGAGAAACUGCCUGGCUAGAAUCCGGAAGAGGAGAGCGGAAUUCCUGGUGUAGCGGUGGAAUGCGCAGAUAUCAGGAAGAACACCCGUGGCGAAGGCGGCUCUCUGGGACGGUAUUGACGCUGAGACGCGAAAGCGUGGGGAGCGAACAGG